GUUUCCUGACUUGCGACGUACCAGAUAUAAAAAACACCGUCGCAAUAAGACUUUGCUUCUGCGUCGCUAGAGCAAAGGAAAGCGCGGCCUGCAAGUCAUUAUUUUACAUUCUUCUACAUCGCAGAACUGGGGAAAUCUUCGUGACACUAUAUAAUUUCGGGGACAGGGAUGCGUCACUCAGACAACCGGAACAGUCUGUAUUUACCUCUAUCGUUAGAAACCGAUAUGAGGGUAUGAUACAGAGACAUACCUGUGAAAGCGACAGCCUUUCCCUACAAUUGGACUUCAUGGAAAACCUGGAAUUCGCAUGUGUGAUUGACCUUUGUCGCAGGUGCGGUUCAAUGUACGCGGAAGUUGAUUCGUCUCCUCGCUUAGCGCUUAUUAAAAACCUUUACAAACAUAACUGUGAACAUGAGGAUAGAAAUGGCCUGACGGUUAGACCUUGAGCAUCUUUAAUUACCCUGAAUCAUAACCAUUUUUAAGGUUUUCUUAGGCAACGCGACAGGUACUACGGAUUUCGUUAAACCUUUUUCGAUUUCCAUGGACGGAGUUCCAUAUCUGAUUAUUUUCGGUGUCACGGAUUGUGGUAAGCUAUCAUCAAACAACAACGAGGAAGCUUAUUUGAUUGACAUAACAUAGAAGAAAUUCUGCAUUACGCGUACAUUUUAUGCUGGAUACGUUUCAACGUUGACUUACCCUAGAUCAUGGGAGUGAAGAUAAUUCAAAAUAUAACUCCGUCUACGGAAAACAAAAGAGCUUUCACUGAUUCUAUUUAUGGAACAUGAUUGGUUCACCUAGCCAGCACGAUCCGAUUGUUGGGGAAUAACUCUCGUACGUACAUAAUUUACAUGCCACAAUACAACAGUUGGUACGAAGUCGAAACACGGUGUUGAAUAAUGAAUCCG
This 905-nucleotide long non-coding RNA is filed under the name Toxoplasma gondii VEG. Lineage: Eukaryota; Apicomplexa; Conoidasida; Eucoccidiorida; Sarcocystidae. The record is from RNAcentral.